CUUCUUCCUUUCAUUUAUUUGGGCUCUUUAUUGUCUCCGUCCUUUUUGCUUCCACUCAGGUGGUAACUUUAAUCUAUGUCAAUGUUCAAGAACUCAAAGGAAAUAUGCAGCUUUUAUGUGUCCCAAGUCAGGUCCAAAUUAAGAGGAAACAGAUGAAACAGGUCCAUUUUCAGAAAGUAAAAUUUCAAAAACACUUUGAAGGGUGAGCCACUCCUCCUUACCCUUGGGAGAGAAAGGAAACCAGAUGUCCCCACCCCUAUGCUCCAGGCCCAGAGUCAUUAAAAUGUGCUACACUCUGAGUAUGGAAAUAAAUGCCUCUGCUGAUAACAGAAGUGACAACUGACACACUGGGAAUUCAGCUGUUUCAAACAGUGGCAGAGCUAUCAGCCAGGGAGUAAUGUGGAUAAUUUUCACAGUGUCUAUCUCUGUUGAAAUAUUUCAAUAUAUUCAGCUUUAAAUUCAGGAAGCAUAACAUGACAGCCCAAUAUUUUAAUUUAGAGAUUCAGAGAAAUGAAACAGGAAAGAUAUAUGCUAUCAUUGCCUAAAUUUAUGUUGAACUUUAUCAUACGAAAUCAAGGGAUUUCCAUUUCAAAGCAUGUAAGAAUAUUAUCCAACAGAAUGAAUUCUAUCUAAGUUGUAUUUCACAUACUG
Non-coding RNA from Agelaius phoeniceus (red-winged blackbird), 651 nucleotides. The record is from RefSeq and is a predicted model, not a curated record. Lineage: Eukaryota; Metazoa; Chordata; Aves; Passeriformes; Icteridae.